GCUACUACCGAUUGAAUGGUUUAGUGAGGACUCCUGAUUGGCGCCGCCGCCCCGGCAACGGAGCAGCGGACUGCCGAAAAGUUGUUCGAACUUGAUCAUUUAGAGGAAGUAAAAGUCGUAACAAGGUUUCCGUAGGUGAACCUGCAGAAAAA
This 152-nucleotide unclassified non-coding RNA is filed under the name sea anemone metagenome. RNAcentral describes it as "partial contains small subunit ribosomal RNA and internal transcribed spacer 1". It matches the Rfam family "Eukaryotic small subunit ribosomal RNA", at positions 1678 to 1825 of the family's 1831-position model. The record is from RNAcentral.